RNAcentral lists this ribosomal RNA (276 nucleotides) under uncultured microorganism. RNAcentral describes it as "partial 16S ribosomal RNA". It matches the Rfam family "Bacterial small subunit ribosomal RNA", at positions 9 to 274 of the family's 1533-position model. The record is from RNAcentral.
GAGUUUGAUCGUGGCUCAGGAUGAACGCUGGCGGCGUGCCUAAUACAUGCAAGUCGAGCGAACAGACGAGGAGCUUGCUCCUCUGACGUUAGCGGCGGACGGGUGAGUAACACGUGGAUAACCUACCUAUAAGACUGGGAUAACUUCGGGAAACCGGAGCUAAUACCGGAUAAUAUAUUGAACCGCAUGGUUCAAUAGUGAAAGACGGUUUUGCUGUCACUUAUAGAUGGAUCCGCGCCGCAUUAGCUAGUUGGUAAGGUAACGGCUUACCAAGGC